Molecule: ribosomal RNA, 465 nt
Filed under: uncultured bacterium
Lineage: Bacteria
Description: partial 16S ribosomal RNA
Rfam family: Bacterial small subunit ribosomal RNA
Source: RNAcentral
GACGAACGCUGGCGGCGUGCUUAACACAUGCAAGUCGAACGGAAAGGCCCCUUUGGGGGUACUCGAGUGGCGAACGGGUGAGUAACACGUGAGUAACCUGCCCUUGACUUCGGGAUAACUUCAGGAAACUGGGGCUAAUACCGGAUAGGAAUCCUUGCUGCAUGGUGGGGGUUGGAAAGCUUCGGCGGUUUUGGAUGGUCUCGCGGCUUAUCAGCUUGUUGGUGGGGUAGUGGCUUACCAAGGCUUUGACGGGUAGCCGGCCUGAGAGGGCGACCGGCCACAUUGGGACUGAGAUACGGCCCAGACUCCUACGGGAGGCAGCAGUGGGGAAUAUUGCACAAUGGGCGGAAGCCUGAUGCAGCAACGCCGCGUGCGGGAUGACGGCCUUCGGGUUGUAAACCGCUUUCAGCAGGGGCGAAGCUUGUGGUGACGGUACCUGCAGAAGAAGCACCGGCUAACUACGUG